AGUUGGGUUCCAAAGAUAAGGCAGGCUUGUUCCAGAGGUCGCAAUUCUGGGCCGGGAUGCCAGCUGUUUUUUCACAAUCACUCAGUACUCAGGAAGAAGGUGAAGGCUUCCGAGCCUCACUACUGCGGGAAGCAGCGGCGGAACCCUGCGCUCUGGGGAACCGCCUACCUCCCUCUUGCGCUUGUGAAAAUAGGAGACAGGUGCACUUCUAGCCCGAGCUUAAAACUUCCCCAUCUCUAAAGACGCUUCCAUUGGAAAGAUGCCCAAGGUUUCCUUGGUAGUCACAUGAUUUUGUUUCGUUUUAAAGUUUAAAAGUCCAUCCUAAUUUGUAAGGUCAAAGUAUAGAAAUCUCUUGUUUCUCAGGAAGCCAGACAAAUGUCCUCCGCAGGAUACCUUUCCCUGAAUCAGAACUUCAAUUUUCUUUUUUUUUUCUAAGACAUGUGUUCAAUUGAAUUUCAAUUUUCAAUAAAAGGUCACGGAGGGGAUUUUAUUACUUAUCACUAUUCUAUGCCACCAGUUUUAUAAGCAGAACAUUGAUGAAUUCUAGAGUAGAUUUUCAGAUGUGAAGUCUGGAUAAUUAGUAUAGCCUAAUGAGAACAGACCUGGUAUUGAUUCCUUUCUAAACAGACAUCUAAGAGAAGCCACAGAGGGGAAGAACUGAGGACAUGUGGAAGUUCUCAUUAUAAACUAUGGCUCACACACAAAUAAAACUUUUCCACUAGCCAUUAUUCUUGAAUAGCCGAAUAUUAGUUUCAGUCAAACCAAAAGGUCAGUCUAUCCUUCCCCUACACCUGGUAUUUUAUAUUGGUUUUUUCUUUUACAAAGCAAACUUCAAAAUAAUCUAGUUGUUUUUGUUUGUUGGAGUGGAGGGGCUUGAGACAGAGUUUUACUACGGAGUUCAGGCUUUUUAACUCACUCUGUACCCCAGGCUGGUCUUGACUUCACAGCGAUCCUCCUGCUUCCUGCCUCCAGUGUGGGUUUACAGGUGUGCUCUGGCUUCAAAUAAUCUUGAAGCCACAUUUUACUCAGAAGUACUUUUAAUUAGAGUAACUGCUUUAAAUCGGGAGGUGCAUCAGGCACAGUCCGCUCAUUCUGCAGUGCCAAGACUGAACCCAGAGCCCUGCACAUGUAACUAUGUUUAAAAAUCAAAGUUUUAACUGUUGCUGGAGACCGUGGAUGAAGGAUGCACUGCUCUGGAGUUUCUCAGUCACUGUAACUUCUUUCACUGCAGUUUUGAUGACUUCAGAUACUCCGCCGGUUCCAAGGAUGCAAGGCAAACUUAAAAACACUUCAUUAUUUAUAUCAUAAUACCCCUGAAAUUAAAAAGACAAUAAAAUAGAGCUGAAUCACUGUACAAAGUUAAAUCAUAAAAA
This is a long non-coding RNA of Cavia porcellus (domestic guinea pig), 1373 nucleotides long. RefSeq lists it as uncharacterized. The transcript is spliced from 3 exons. Lineage: Eukaryota; Metazoa; Chordata; Mammalia; Rodentia; Caviidae. The record is from RefSeq and is a predicted model, not a curated record.